This 231-nucleotide ribosomal RNA is filed under the name uncultured Candidatus Poseidoniales archaeon. RNAcentral describes it as "partial 16S ribosomal RNA". It matches the Rfam family "Archaeal small subunit ribosomal RNA", at positions 693 to 923 of the family's 1478-position model. Lineage: Archaea; Methanobacteriati; Thermoplasmatota; Candidatus Poseidoniia; Candidatus Poseidoniales. The record is from RNAcentral.
GACGGUCAGGGACGAAACCUAGGGGCACGAACCGGAUUAGAUACCCGGGUAGUCCUAGGUGUAAACGCUGUGGACUUGAUGUUGGGGGCGCUCCGAGCGCUCUCAGUGUCGAAGCGAAGGUGAUAAGUCCACUGCCUGGGGAGUACGGUCGCAAGGCUGAAACUUAAAGGAAUUGGCGGGGGAGCACUGCAACCUGAGGAUUGUGCGGUUUAAUUGGACUCAACGCCGGGA